Molecule: ribosomal RNA, 427 nt
Filed under: uncultured bacterium
Lineage: Bacteria
Description: bacterial SSU rRNA
Rfam family: Bacterial small subunit ribosomal RNA
Source: RNAcentral
UGGGGAAUCUUCCGCAAUGGACGAAAGUCUGACGGAGCAACGCCGCGUGUAUGAUGAAGGUCUUCGGAUUGUAAAGUACUGUCAUUGGGGAAGAACGGUUUUCUUGAAAAGAUUGAGAAGAUAUGACGGUACCCAAGGAGGAAGCCCCGGCUAACUACGUGCCAGCAGCCGCGGUAACACGUAGGGGGCAAGCGUUGUCCGGCAUUAUUGGACGUAAAGGGCGCGUAGGCGGGCCUUUAAGUCCGGUGUGAAAGAUGAGGGCUCAAACCUGAGGGUGCAUCGGAAACUGGAGGCCUUGAGGACAGGAGAGGAAAGUGGAAUUCCACGUGUAGCGGUGAAAUGCGUAGAUAUGUGGAGGAACACCAGUGGCGAAGGCGACUUUCUGGACUGUAACUGACGCUGAGUCGCGAAAGCGUGGGGAGCAAAC